GACGAACGCUGGCGGCGUGCUUAACACAUGCAAGUCGAACGGAAAGGCCCUGCUUUUGUGGGGUGCUCGAGUGGCGAACGGGUGAGUAACACGUGAGUAACCUGCCCUUGACUUUGGGAUAACUUCAGGAAACUGGGGCUAAUACCGGAUAGGAGCUCCUGCUGCAUGGUGGGGGUUGGAAAGUUUCGGCGGUUGGGGAUGGACUCGCGGCUUAUCAGCUUGUUGGUGGGGUAGUGGCUUACCAAGGCUUUGACGGGUAGCCGGCCUGAGAGGGUGACCGGCCAACAUGGGACUGAGAUACGGCCCAGACUCCUACGGGAGGCAGCAGUGGGGAAUAUUGCACAAUGGGCGGAAGCCUGAUGCAGCAACGCCGCGUGCGGGAUGACGGCCUUCGGGUUGUAAACCGCUUUCGCCUGUGACGAAGCGUGAGUGACGGUAAUGGGUAAAGAAGCACCGGCUAACUACGUG
Molecule: ribosomal RNA, 468 nt
Filed under: uncultured bacterium
Lineage: Bacteria
Description: partial 16S ribosomal RNA
Rfam family: Bacterial small subunit ribosomal RNA
Source: RNAcentral